AGAGCAGAAUACUGGCCUACCAGAUGUAGCAGGACAUGGAGCCACUUGGUAGCCAGGGAGUCUGGGAAAGGUUGAGCUGUUUUAAGAACAAAGGUUUAUGAGGGACACAGAGGAGGGACUGACUGAUGGCAGCUAGCCAUCCAUACAUUGCAGAGAAGAGCUGAUCGCCAGAGCAUCGACUAGAUCAACAAGCCAAAACUGGCCAAAGUGCAGACCAUCAUGCUUUAACCUGAGGGAGCCAAGAGUAAGAAUGGACUAAGCCAGUUAUAAAAUAGAGGGUAAAUGGUAAGACUGGUCUUAUCCCCCAGUUUUAGAUAAGCCUAAGAAGGAUGUUGAUAGGACGGACAUACUCUGGCCAAUCUUAUAUCU
Long non-coding RNA from Saccostrea echinata, 369 nucleotides. RefSeq lists it as uncharacterized. The transcript has 4 exons. The record is from RefSeq and is a predicted model, not a curated record. Lineage: Eukaryota; Metazoa; Mollusca; Bivalvia; Ostreida; Ostreidae.